This is a long non-coding RNA of Arachis stenosperma, 1571 nucleotides long. RefSeq lists it as uncharacterized. The record is from RefSeq and is a predicted model, not a curated record. The transcript is spliced from 3 exons. Lineage: Eukaryota; Viridiplantae; Streptophyta; Magnoliopsida; Fabales; Fabaceae.
GCGGUCACACUUUUCUUUGUUCUUAGUCUAUCACCCCAAUUCUUCCCUUUCCUUUCUAGAAAUUCCGUUUUUUAUAUUUCUAAACUUCAUAAAAUUCAGACACAAAAUAUGUUUAUGAAUAUUGUGUAGGCCUUUCAAUUCGCUGCAAUUACUCCUCUACAGGACAUGGUAACUUUUCAUGUUCGUUUCUAACCGUUCUCUAUAUCCUUACCAGAGCUUUUUGAAGAUCAUUAUUUAUAGAUUCUAGUUUAUCUUGAUCAGCACUUUUUGGCUAGGAUGAGAUGUACACAACGGAGCUAGAACAUGUGAUGAGAAAAAAUUGAAGCUCAUGGAUACCAGCAAGUACACUAGAUCGUUCAAGUAAUACCACGGAAAACAAAUGUUAACCAAUUGGGCCAGCUUUAAUUUCAAUACUACAAGCCCAAGUCUCACAAGUGAUGAAUGUUUCCAAGCUUGGUCCGAAACCAAAGAAAAAUGAAAGCCAAGUGCUUCCAACGGAACCAAGUUUUAACCAUGUGAUGGAUUUCAAAAUCUAUUACAUUGUUAAUUAAUGCAUGGGGAACAUGAGAGAGAAAAAUUCAGCUGAAGUGAUUGACGGUUGUUAUGACUUACACGCCACUCUAUGUUAGGGAAGUAAAAGCAAGCUAUGCCUAAUCAAUUUGAUCAACCGCUUGGUAUUGCUUUUCUUUCAGAUUUCUUUUACUCUCUCUCUCAUCUCUUUCUUCUUCUCUAUUCGGUCCUUGUCCAGGAAACAAUGGAAGAAAUGUUCUUCAACACCGAAAGGAAGAUGUUGCAUGCGCCUAAGACCAUCAAGCUAAUGAUGGCAAGAAAACAUACCAAAAGAAAGAUGAGCUGUGGCUGAGAUUACUACCAAAUAUGGUUAGAUUUGGUGAGGUAAUCUUGAGCCUCUCAUGCUCAAAAAGGGAAGUUGAAGAUUUGGCCAAGAGGGAGAUUCUUGAAGCAUGGCUUGUCUUCGAUUCUGAUCAACCACCACAGGGAGUAGCUAGAGUGGCGAAGUGAUGGUUGAAGGCAGAGAUUGAAGCAGAUGAAGUCAUCAUCAUCAUGAAGCAUCAAGGGCCAGAAAUCCAUCUUGGAGAGGAAGCCAAGGAUGGAGAGCUCGGAUUGAUGUAGGGUGAUGAUCAAGAAAGGACUAGAGGUAAUUGCAUGUUGGUUAAUGCAUGGUUAUCUCUUCUCUCUCUGUGUGGCCGAACUGGUUCUGUGUUUGUUGAAGGAGGAAGAAAGUUGGUUCGGUUUUGGCUUCAAGUGUGGAGGCUUUCCUCUUCUUUAAAAAGGGGGAACAACCACUGUUUGGAGCAAGGAGUAAGAUUUGAGAGUGCAAGGCACAGAGUUCUCAGAGCUACCUAAGCUAGCAGUUCUCUUCUCCUUCAAUGUUUUCUGUUUAGUAUUUUUCUGUUUAAUUUUGUCAUGUCUUGAGUCUCAUGGAAAAAAGGCAAACAGUGAGGUUUGUAUGAAAAAGCCAUAGAGCGGAAAAAGGCAGAGAGUGCAAAAUUAAAAGAAAAAGCCAUAGAUGUCUUAGAGUUCCUUUGUACAUCUGUGUUGUGUUUCAUGAU